GAAGAGGUCACGCGGCUGCGCAAUAGGGUUUGGGCGGAUGCUUUCAACUUUGCGGUUUAUUUCUCGGUCUGUGAGUUUGCGGGUUCAUUGAAGACAGGAAAGUCUGUUCUCGUACGGCUUCACGCCACAGCCUCCAUUUUCCUUACAGGUUCCUGGGUGUAUUUGCUUGGGUGUGUUGGCUCCUGUGCCCACGAAUGACUGCCGUCCCCUGGACGGCUCGGGAGAGGAGUCAGCUAGGAAAGACUGGGAAAAAAAUAACGCUUUUUCUAACCGUGGUCGGCACCUCGGUGUCUUCUGUAGUUUUUAAAAAAUCGCUAGUAGGCCGGGCGGCGAUGGCGCACUCCUUUGAUCCCAGCACUCGGGAGGCAGAGCCAGGCGGAUCUCUGUGAGUUCGAGGCCAGCCUGGUGUACAGAGCGAGAUCCAGGACAGGCAUCAAAAUUACACAGAGAAACCCUGUCUCGGAAAAACCAAACCAAACAAACAAAGUCGCUAGUAGAUGUUGGAGAAGGCCACCUUGUGGGAAGAACGUUCUGCAUUCUGCCCCAUCCAAAGUUCUCAGUAAGUUUACUGCUUCCUUGCACAGACUCUCACAAUAGAAGCCUCUAUCCAGAUUUCAAAGGAGAGUCUGGGAGGCUAGGCAAUGUGUAACAUUGUUAGAGUCCUUGCAGGCAGCUCCUUAGAGGGCAGUGCAUGAAUCUGUGAGAGUGAAAUCUAGGAUGAAUGUUGUGGAGAACCCAGGAUGUUGGUGAUGUCAGGAAGUUGGGAAUUCUCCUGAGGAAAGUAUUGGGCAGUGUGGAGCCAGCCCAAGAGAGGCUAGGUGGCUUGGGAAUGGCAAGACCAUGGGGACUGAUUUUCCCAAGCCCUGGCACAGCUCUAUGAGCUCUGGGUACUGGACGUGGAGCUACAGGAUUUAAUAUUUGCCCUGCCAGGUUUCAGUCUUGCUUUGGGCAGAUCCUUCCUGGAUUCUUUACUUUGGGAAUGGGAAUGUUUUUGAUAGGUACUUGGGACUAUAUACCUUGAUGUUAGCAGAGCACACAGCUAAGUGUUUGCCCCAGUCUCGGGAGACUGGACUAGAGCUUUGGAGCAUUGGGGUUGGGGAGGGAUUGAAUCUUAUGGUAUAAGGAGAUGUGUUGGAAUGUCAGGUUGACUUGGGAUGGUUAAUCUUGAGAUUACUAAAGCCCACUUCUAGAUGUGUCUGUGAAGACCCUUCCAGAGAGGACUAAGAGACAGUGACCUUCCUUGAAUGUGGGUGACACCAUCCCAUGGGCUGGGUCCCAGACUGAAAAAAGGAAAAAGGACCAAGUCCAUGACCCCAGGCCUUCUCUCCCCCUGCCGCUGUCCCACAGUAGUGUGAGCUAUUCUGCUCUGCCAGGCCUCCCUCUCCCACCACAACGGACUGAAACUUCCUUUGAGUUUUUUGUGUGUCCUUUUUGGUCACAGUGAAGCAAAGUAACUAACAAAAAUAUUAUGUGUGUAGUUCUCAGACAUGAAAUAUUUGAAAAGGAGUAGACAUUUCUUCCAAAGAUUUGGGGAAGGUGGAAAACAGUAACAUAUGCUUCCGAUUGUUGCUUUGUUCAACUUUAUUUUUCUUUCAAGACAGAUUGGAGUAGUAAGUAGAGUGAUAGUUGGGGAAAAUUCUAGAAAGCAAUGAGAGGAGCCGGAAGGAGGGGGUUAUUGAAGCACAGAUGGCGGAAAUAAGAGAACGGGAGUCAGGGAGCAGGAAUUAGGUCCCCUCUUUCUCUGUUGCAGAGCCGCCACAAGGUGUGCAUUAACAGUGAGCCUGCUUUUGUAGAACAAUGGGAAGAAAAGCAAGGAUGCCUCCCAAGUUAAGAGGGUAGUAUGGAAAGAUUAUCUGAUGUGAAGGAGAGAUGCUGCGUGCUACCCUGCCCCAGGCCCAUGUCCCUUCGCUGCGACUCAGGUGGACCGGUGGGGCCUUGAACAAAGGGCAUCAUGGUGUCACCCACUCACUCCCCAGAGCUCACUCCACCUCCUGCUCUGAUAAAAGUAAACUUACAGAUGAAAUUCCCUUUAGAACAAGUUUCAUCCACUCCGAAGUCACACCUCUGUCCCCAUAGCUUCUUUUUCUUCAUUUUCUUCUGAUCUACCUUCCCUCUUCUGUUUAUUUACUUACUUAUUUAUUUUUGAGACAGACUCUCACUAUGUAUCCUUGGCUGGCUGGCCUAGAGCUUGUUACGCAGACCAGGCUAGCCUCAAUCAGAGAUCCACUGCCUACCUCUGCCUCCUGAGUGCUGGCAUUAGAGGCAUGCACCGCCAUGCCCAGCCCACCAUCCUUUUACUUUUUAAGGAAGUGUCCAUCCAUCCUCCUGGACUCAGCCCAAGUUCUAAGAUCUGCCAGACUCUGGGAGACUAAAAUAAAUUGGACUGAAGUGUUUUUGAGCUUUCUGUUGGAUCACUCAGCAAUUAUUCCAUGAGCAUUUGCCUUACUUUCUUAAUUAGCUUUUGAGUUUGCACAUAUCCUGUGUGUAGUUUACAAAGACAAAAACAUUCCCAGGGAAUGACUAGACUAUUGCAAAGUGUUACAACUGGAAAAAACAGAUUACUUGAGCACAAUUCCCGUAUCUUGGAUCAAAGUAGAGAAUGCACCUGAGCCUUCUAGAGUAAGGCUGGUGUUGGAUUUUCUCUAUGUAGAUCAUUAAUUAUACAUUAAUUUUAAAUCUCCAAAUUAAAUAGUUUUUAUUUGCAUAUGUAGCAAUGUACUGCUUUUCAGUACAUUACAUUUCAGAAUAAAGACCUUAUGAAACAUCUUGUUAUUAUUAAUAAGUUAGAAUAUUUGAGAAUAUUACCCCUCCACUCCUCACCCCUUUUCAUUUAAAGACAGUCUCAUGUAGCCCAGACUGGCCUGGAAUUUGAAUUCCUGAUCCUCCUGCAUUGUCCUGAGGGGGGAUAUUCCAUUUUUUGGGUAACAUAAUUCAAAAUAGAAUUUUAGUGAUGUGUGUAUGACUCAUGUUCAAAGACAGAAGUGAUGUAGCUUCUUCGAAGUUUGUUUUUCUGUGGUUAAUUGUGACAUUCAAAUAGUUUUCUCUCAAGACCCAAAAAAGCCAAGGCAUUGCCAGCUGUGAGUUUAUCCUGAAUAAAAGAGAGAGAAAGAGAGAGAAGUUUUACUUUAAAGCAUGAUUGGCUUGAUAAAGCACUUAUUAGAGUCAUUGAUUACUUUUUUUUACAUUUGUGUGUGUGUGUGUGUAUGUGUGUGUGUGUGUGUUCUCAUGCAGAGGAUUUAUGCAUUUAGUUAUACUGGGCUUAUUUUAAGACAUAAAGAUUCUCUUGUUUUUUUUUUUUUUUUUUGGUUUUUCGAGACAGGGUUUCUCUGAGUAGCUUUGCGCCUUUCCUGGGACUCACUUGGUAGUCCAGGCUGGCCUCGAACUCACAGAGAUCCACCUGCCUCUGCCUCCCGAGUGCUGGGAUUAAAGGCGUGCGCCACCACCGCCCGGCAGAUUCUCUUGUUUUUAAUAGUCUAGCGAUGUCAGAAGAUUGAGUCAAAUGAAAGUUGUAGGCAAAUGAAGUAUAAUGGGCUCUCUGUUCAGCUCAGGAAGAAGACCGAGGUUCAAGGCAUGUACCUUUGUUUCUUCGUCGAAUUCUCCCAUGGACUCUAUCAACUUCCCGGGCUCCUGCUCACCUAGUGGAAAGGGGCUUGCUUCUGAGUAUGCGUGUCUACAAGGGUGGAGGCCAGAACACAGUCUCCGGUGUCUCGUUCCUGAGGUGCUGUCCACCUUGGUUUUUGAAACAAGGUCUGUCACUGUCCUGGAAUUCAUUAAAGAUGCUCCUCUGGCUAGCCUGUGAUCCCCAGGGCCACCUGUCUCUGCCUUCCCAGUGCUUGGAACGCAGGUGUGUACCAUCACACCUGGAUCUUUUUAAUAUGGGUUCUGGGAAUCGGACCCAAGUAAGUAUGCUUGUAUGAUGAACGCUUAAUUGAAUGGGCUAUUCUACACCUCAGCCCGUUUAUUUUCUUAGUAAUUGAAAUACAGAAUACUGAAAUAUAAGAAAUGGCUAUUUACUUGAUAAAACAUACAGAUAUAUUCUGAUGAAAUGAAAUAUUCUGCCUUUCUUAUAAUGACACAUCACAAGUGAGCCUGUAAGAAAGUAGAGUUGGAAAGAAAAGUUUGGGCUAAAUGGUAGUCUAACUCCUCAUAGCUCUGUAAAUAAUUCCUUUGUUAACUUCUCUUGAGCUUUCCCACAUGAAAUGUGGCAUCCUUUCUGCCAAGCUCUCUAAAUGAGCCAUGGUCCCUUCCAGUCACAGCAAGCCUUUCAUAGUUGGCUGACUUGAAUGGGUUGAUUCCUCUGGUUGCAGUGUCCUAGUCAUCUUGAACUCUGAUUUGUGUGUGUGUGUGUGUGUGUGUGUGUGUGUGUGUGGUGUUUGGGGGUGGGAGAUGGAGUACCAUAUGUGUGAAAGUGUUGGUGGAGAGACCAGAAAAUGGUGUCAGAGCCACUGGUGUUGGAAUUGUAAGUGGUUAUAAGCUGCCUGAUGUGGGUGGGUGUUGGGACCUGAACUUGGUCUUCUGCAAGUGCAGUGAGUGCUCUUAACCACUGAGAUAUCCCUACAGCCCUGUUGAACUCCACUUCAUACUAAUUAAUUAACGUGGUAUUUAGUUUUUAAUUUUAUAAAGUUUUAAAGCUACAGAAGAGUUGCCAUGAAAUUCAAGAAUCUGCCAUAUAACCAUCACCCAAGUUAAAAAGUUGUUAAUAUUUUGACACCUUACUUUGUUAUUUUUAGGUAUAUGUAUGUGUGUAUGUAUGUAUGCAUGUAUGUAUUCAUGAAACCACGGUGAGUUUGGAGACAUCAUUGCCCUUUAUUCCUAAAUAAAUUAGCGUUUAUUUCCUAAAAACAGGACUUUUUCUUUUCUUUUAUAACAUGAACUUAUUUGUGGUGUGUGUGUGUGUGUGUGAGAGAGAGAGGGAUGGGGCGAUGGUGACAUGUGGAGGUCAGAGUACAAACUGUGGGAGUCAGUUCUCUCCUUCCACCCUGUGGGUUCUGAUCAAACCCAGGUUGUCAGACUUGGCAGCAAGUCCCUUUACCCAUGGAACCAGCUUGACUUCUUCUUUCUCCUCUCCUCCCUUCUCCUCUUCUCUUCAUUUUUGAAAGGGUUUCAUCAGAUAGCGUUGGUUGGCAAGUGUCUUGCUGUGUAGACCAGGCUAGCCUAGAAACUCACAGAGAUCUGACCACCUUUGCCUUCAGUGUGCUGUGAUUAAAGACAUGUGCCAACAGGCCUGGCUAAGGAGACACUUCUUAUAUGACUACAAUGCACUUUCUAAAAUCAGGAAAUGCACCAUGGAGGGAGGGAGACAUGUGCUGCAGCGCACAUGUGGAGGUCUAACCGCAAAGUUUUGGGAAUCAGUUUUCUCCCUUCAGGAAGUGUAAGUCAUUUGUUUAUCUGUUUGUGUGGGAGAGAUUUUACCUAUUGAGUCAGCCCUCUGGCUCAAUACAGUGUUUUGUUAUCUUAACUGACACUGUUUUUUGGUUGUACUAACAGUGUGCACUAUCCAUCCAUCCAUCCACCCACCCACCUCUCUCUCUCUCUCUCUCUCUCUCUCUCUCUCUCUCUCUCUCUCUCUCUCUCUCAAUCUAUCUAUCAAUCACUAUCUUAUCUAUCAUAUCUAUCUAUCUAAUCUAUCUAUCUAUCUGUCUAGAAAAGGGCUCCCUACAUAGUCCUGGCUAGCCUGGAACUCACUAUGUAAAGCAGGCUGGUCUAAAACUCACAGAGGUCCACCUGCCUCUGCCUCCUGAGUACUGGGAUUAAAGGCAUGCACCACCACACCCAGCUUAUGUAUUUACUUUAGUAUUUGUACUUUGAGAAUAAUACUUUUAUAAAUUCAUCAGUACCAUGCAGUGUUGAUACAGGCCUACAUUGUGUAAUGAUAAAAUCAAGGCAUUGGGCUAUCCAUCAGCUAAUCAUUUAGUGCUUCUUUGAGGUGAAACAAUUCUCCCAUACCUAUUUUGAAACAUACAAGAAAUUUCUGGGUCAUAUAGUAAGUUCCAGUUAACCUGGGCUACAAAGUGAGACCCUGUCUCCAGAAGCAAUGACCAACCCACCAGCUAAAGAACCCCAGGAGAUCUGGCAUGUUACACAGUGGGAUGACUAUACAUAAUAAUAAUGUUCUGUAUAUUUCAAAAAGCCAGGAGAAAUGACUUGUAAUGUUUAACCAUAGAGAUAUGCUUGGGUAGAUAUGUUUAACCUGAUAGAAACAUUAUACCAUUUACACAUAUAUCAAAAAUCAUACCAGAUAUAUGUGUACAUAUAUAUAUAUAUAUAUAUAUAUAUAUGUACACAUAUAGUGUUCAAAAUAACUUCAAACUUAAAAAAUACUUCAAUUGGUAAUAUACACUGGAGGAAAUGGUCAUUUAAAAAAUAGAAAUUUAACCUGGGUGUUGGUGGUACAUGCCUUUAAUUCCAGCACUGAGGAGGCAGAGGCAAGUGGAUCUCUGUGAAUUUGAGGCCAGCCUGGUCCACAGAGUGAGAUCUUAUGUUAUGUAUAUGUAUAUAUAUAUUUGAUGGCUAGGGAGAUAGUUCAGAGAGUGCUUGUUGCCCAAUCAUGAUGAACUGAGUUCAAAUCCCCAGUACCUCAACUGAACAUGUUUGUGCAUGUGCCUAUAAUUCUAGUGCUGUGUGAGGCAGAGGCAGGAGGAGUGUUGGGGGCUUCCUGGCUGCCAGCCUAGCUCCAGAUUCAGUGAGAGACCUUGUCUUAAGAGAACAAAACAGCGUGAUAGGAUAGAACCCAUGAUGUCCAACACACACACACACACACACACACACACACACACACACACACACACACUCACACACACACACACCCCCCACAGUUUCAAAGUCCAUGAUUGACUACCAAAUCUAUGUUUAGAUUUCUGUAUUCAUUUGUAUAUGAAGCCAAGCAAAUACACCUGCUGCGGAAGCCCUCAAGACACACAGUUAUGUCUCCUUGCAUCUGUGCCAGCAGCUGAUCUUGUUCUAACACUCUGCUUGGUAUGCACCAGGGGUUCAUCUCCUCUUCUUGCUAAAGCUGUUUACAUUUCCAACAUACAACAUGAUUUUAGAGUCCCACGCUUAUACUGCCCUCGUCAGCUCCAUUAGCAUGAAGAUGAAAUCCAGGCAUUAAUUUUCUAAUUAGGAACUUUUCCCUUCCCAGCAUGCUGGCAUUCUCAAAUAUAAAUAUGCUUUAGGAAGCAGUCUGUCCUGUUUUAAUAUGGAGAAAGCAAAGGCGCCUAAAGCAGAAGUGAAAAGCAGUCUUCCAGUCUUCUGCAAUUCAUCCCUCCUGAUUAUUUCCUUGGUUUCCUUCUGUGUGUGUGCAUGUGCAUGUGUGUGUGCGCAUGCAUGUGCGUGUGCAUGUGUGUGUGCAUGUGUGUGUUCAGAGGAUAGUGUCAGAUGCCAGUCCUUCUUGACUUCCACUUAUUUCAGACAGGGUCCUUCUGUUGUUUUUCUGCUGCAUGUACCAGGAUAGCUGGCCCUUGGGCUUCUAAGAGCAUUGGGAUUAAAGAUGUUCACGCUGUGUAUCUAGCUCUUAAACGGGUUCUGGGGAUUCAAACCCAGGUGCCCAGGGAUGCAUUGCCAGUGCUUUACCUGCUGAGCCAUCUCAUUUCCCCAGUCCCUUGGAUUGAUUUUUUUUUAAAAUUUUUAAAUUCUACCACAGACCAGCAAACUCAUGGUUUGAAAGGUUUAAAUUAUUACUUCGACUUGCUCUCAACUUCUUUCUAUAGAAGGUUCUAUAUCUGCUUGUAACUUUCUGAGUUUUAAACUUUUCAUGCCUUUUAUUGGUAACUGUCUUAGUCACUGUUCUGUUGCUGUGAAGAGACACCAUGACCAACACUUAGAAAGCAUUUAAUUGAGAGCUGGCUUACAGUUCAGAGGCUUAGUCCAUUAUCAUCAUGGUGCGAAUCAGACAGGCAUGGACUGGGGGAGUAACUGAGAGAUACAUCCUGAUCCGUAGGCAGAGAGAGAGAGAGAGAGAGAGAGAGAGAGAGAGAGAGAGAGACUUUUGAAACUUCAAAGCCCACCACCAGUGACACACUUCCUCCAACAAGGCCACACUUCCUAAGCCUUCUAAUCCUUUCAAACAUUUCUACUCCCUGGUGACUAAACAUUCACAUAUGUGAGCCAAUUGGGACCAUUCUUAUUCAACCAACACAGUAACUCUUGAUCGUCUCCAGCUUGAUAGCAAUUUUACAAAUUCAUUGGUUUUGAAAUUGGUCUAAAUCUGGGCUAUCAUCCUUAAUGCUUUAGAUUUUUUUCUUUUUAAAUCCAUCGUCCUUAGAUUCUUUCAUUUUGAAAUAAAUCCAGUUAAUAGUAAUUAUUUAGCCAUUAUUCUUCUUAUGAGGUGACUCUGCCCAUAAUAAUUCUUUGAACUAGCCAGGUGGUGGUGGUGCACACCUUUAAUUCAAGCACUCGGGAGGCAGAGCCAGGUGGAUCUCUGUGAGUUGGAGGUCAGCCUGGUCUACAGAGUGAGUUCCAGGACAGGCACCAAAACUACACAGAGAAACCCUGUCUCGAAAAACAACAACAACAAAAAUUCUUUGAAUUGGAAUUGGACUUGUAAAAAAAAAAUCUUCUUUUGAGAUGGUUGGAAUAUAACUUUGACACAUAUGCUUUCAAGUUGAUUAACUUGAAAAUUGCUUUAGUAAAUGUGUGAAUGAGUUGAAGGAACAAUUUCUUGAAUGGGUGUGGGGCUGGAGAGAUGGCUAAGUGGUUAUGAGCUUGUAUUGUUCAUGCAGAGGGACUGAGUUAGUUCCCAGCUGUACCAUGAAUCUUAAAAGAUCUUAUUAAUAAAAACAAACCCGGAGCCAGGUACUAGGGCAAACGCUGAAAGAUCAGUCAGGUAGAACAAGCCACAGCUGACCUCACCCGGCCAACUUCUCAGCCGAUCCUGUUUCCUCAGACUGGAAGCCUCUGAGUCCUCAUCCGAGUUGAUCUCAGCUGAACUGCUGCUAAAAGACUAAAAGCUUAGCAAGACUCUAGUUCCUGGUCCUCACACCUUAUAUACCUUUCUGCUUCCUGCCAUUACUUCCUGGGAUUAAAGGCAUGUGUCUUUCCCAAGCAAGACAUGAGAUCUCAAGUGCUGGGGUUAAAGGUGUGAGUCACCAUGUCUGGUUGUUUUCAGUGUGACUUUGAACUCACAGAGAUCCAGAUGGAUCUCUGCUUCCAGAAGGCUAGGAUUAAAGGUGUGUAUGCCACCGUUUUUUCUGGCCUCUAUGUCUAUCCAGUGGCUGUUCUGUUUUCUGACCCCAGAUAAGUUUAUUAGGGUGCACAAUAUAUUGCGGGACACAAUAUCAGCACACCCAGCACCCAUCUCAGGCUGCUCACAAAGCCUUGUAACUCCAGCUCCUGGGGGGUCUGACUUCUAGCCACUGUAGAAUGUGCUGCUACUCAUGUGCACAUAACCACAUCCCCAUAUAUACACAUAUACAAUAAAAACCCAACUUUUUUAUUGUUUGAAUAUAUGAAAGAAGGAACCCUGGUGUAAUUAGUCCUGAAAUAUUAGGUACAAGAAAGUAGGCACAAGAAAUGAAAGUCUUGUUAAUGUGGAGCUCUUGUUUUGAGGGAAAGGAGAUUGCAUCAGGAAGGAAGUAAGGAAAAGAGACUCCUCAAGAUUUGUGUGGUUCUGCAGGAAGGAGAGCACACACCCACCCAUCAGUUGAUAACCCCUCUACUUGAUAGAUGCUUAAUAAAUACUCGAGUAAAAAUACUUUGAAAAAUUGCUGCUUCUUCAUUCGUCAUGAUGGUUAAUAUUGAUCAUCAAUUUGACAGCAUCUAGAAUCACCUAGACGACAAACCUCUGGGCAUGUCUGUGGUGGAGUUUCUAGAUUGGGUUAAUUGAUGUGAGAAGACUCACUCUGAUUGUGGACAGUACUAUUCCAUGAGCUGAAUGAAAUGGAAAAGGUCAGCUGAGCACCAGCAUUCAUCUCUUCCUCCUUUCUCACUAUAGAUGCUAUGAGACUAGCUGCCAUCUGCUCCUGCAACAAUGCCUUCCCGGUUAUGAUAGACGAUACCCUUGAACUGUGAGCUGAAAUAAGCCCUUUCUUCCUGAAGUUGUUUUUGUCAGACAUUUUAUAACAAGAAGAAAAGUAUCCAAUUCACCUAUUAUCUUACAGCUGCAAUUUUCCUGUGUAUUAAAUGAAUCAUAAGGAAGAAUCCGGGGCUGAGGAAGCCCAAGCAUGGCCUUGCACAGACAGUUGCUCUGCUGUCAACUGGCCUGACCUCCCUGGGACACACAAGACUGUGUCAGGUUCUCAUCACAUCUGUUCCCAGAAGAGUCUGUUCCCUAGGGAUCUACUAAGAUUAUGAAUCAGUUUCUGAAGAUAUAUGUCUGAAUGAGCUAAUGUGGCAUUUCACAUCUACUGUUUUAGAAGGCCCCCUUUAAAGGUUCUGUGAGGGCCAGCUGUGAUAGCACAGACCUGUAAACUGAGGCACUUAGGAGUGAGUAUGAGACAGAAAAUAUGAGGUAGGCGGUACUGAUCUGUUUAAGAGUGGAGAAAUUAAGCUGAGCAUAAGCAAGCAAGUGAGCAUGCUCACAUUCAUUUCUCGCUGCUGUCCACUGUGGAUGUGAUGUGACCAGCUGCUUCAAGCUCCUGUCUUGACUUCUCCACAAUGAUGGAUGGUAACCUGGAAUCGUAAGCUGAAAGAAACCCUGUUAUCCCCUCUGCAGCUUCUUGUCAGGGUGUUUUAUCAUAGCAACAGAGAUGAAACUAGAACAGUCACCCAGCUACCACGUGCUAGAACCAGAAUUUCCUCUCAUUGUCCACAACUUCUUGAGGGAGAGUUAGAAGCCUCUCAGGAGGCUUACAGGCAUCAAAACAGGGUUUCCCUCUUUCGUACUGCAGUGCAUUGGAAGACAUCAUUUAUCAAAGUUAUUUGGAGAUGGAAGUAUAAAAAUAAACAUAAAUGUCAAGUUGGGUGAGAGCUGGGCAGGAAACCCUGUUUGUCUCAAGUCAUUUUAGAAGUGUUUCUAUUAACAUGUAACAUUCUAUUUCCUGCCAUAGUCCUGGAACUAGUAAAAUCUUUCUUUGAUGACAAAGAAUCUUUUUAGUGACGUCAGAUCACUGAGUUUGGAUUUCCAGAAUCUUUGUAAAGCCAGAUUUGGUAGCACCUAUCCAUGGUCUCAGCACGUCCAUAGCAAGAGAGGGUAAGUGGGAAUCCUGGGAAGAUGGUGGGCCUGGUGGAUGCAGCAGUGAUAAGACUGUCUCCAAACAGGUGGAUGGCGAGGACUGGCACUAGAAGUUGUCUUCUGAUGUCCAAGCACCUGCGCAUGUUCAUGCAUGCAUGCAUGCACGCAUGUGCGUGCACACAUAUACAUACACACACACACACACACACACACACACACACACACACACACACACGACUUGGAUGAAGACACACAGGCUUAAGUACACUUGCAGAAAUUCUUAGAGAAGUAAGAAAAUGUAUUGUUGGGCAUUUUUGGUCUGUUGUCUUUUGUUUUGAUUUUCAUUUUUUUUUUUUGAAAGAGAGAAAUGAAACAAAGUUAGGUGGGUAGGGAAGUCGGGAGGAUCUAUGAGGUGCUGGGGAAGAAGAAAAUGGUCAAAAUAUAUUGUAUGAAAAUUUUUUUAAAUGAAAUAAAAAAGAAAAUGUAUGAUAUUUACCCAACAAAAAACAGGAUAUAUAAAACUAGUUGAGGCCUGAAAAUGGUGAUAAUUCAUGAGAAAUUACAAGUAAAAAUCUAAAGGCCAACCACUGAUGAAGUCGUUGAGGAACAUUCCCAGAAAAAUCAAAGUUCAAAGGAUCGUUCUGAUCUGGGGAUUGUUUUUAGAAGGGAAUCUGCCCAUGUGACUGUAACUAGAAUUGGGGAGCAUUACUAUUUUAAAGAGAAUAAUGAAAACAGCUUCUAAGUCCUGGAUCUACCGGCCUGCGAGGGCAUAGAAAACUUGAGGGUUUCAUGUCCAAAUUAUAGUCAUUCAAGCUGUCACAGUGUGAAGACAAGACACUAGAACCAUUACCUUUCCUGGGAGCCCUGCUCAGGAUGUACACACACGUGCCCACUACCUGCUGUACCCACUGGGGUCACAGUGAACUUGCCAAGCUCUUCUUCUUCAGCUAGUGUAUUUGUCUCAGGUACUAUUUCAAGGUGGGAAUAGUAACCCCCAUUGCUGGUUAUAUUAUUCAGAGGAUGGGCUUUGAACUUGACGGUGGUGUUUUUCUCAUGAUGUUUCCAUUUCCGAGAAUGCUAGUGGACACUCUGUUCAAUGGGGCACUGUUCAGAGUGGCCCUUUGCCCAGCUUCCUGUCUCUUCCCCUCUUCUGCUGCUAAAAGUUCAGGACCCACAGUAGCCUUUGGGUUCUCUCCUUUGCGCUUUCCUGCUUACAUACUUGCUCCCAUUUUCAGUAUUUCCAGAUACUUUUAGAAAAUUCUAUGGGGCUGGAGAGAUGGCUCAGCAGUUAAAAGCACUGACUGCUCUUCCAGAGGGAUCAUUCCCGGCACCCACAUGGUAGCUCAAACUCCAGGAUCCAACACCCUCACAUAGACGUACAUACAGGCAAAACACCAAUAAAAUAGAAAUAAAUAAAUUAAAAAAAGACCACCCUCUGCAUCCCGGGUGAAAUUGGAAACCUUCUACAGAUACGCAUGUGCAAUAAGAUGGAACUGAAAUGUGAUCGCUCCUCUGUGCUCCUUAGUCAUCUACUACACUCUCCAGUCCUGUGUGCUGAAAUCCAACCAACUGGGCAUGGAGAAUACUUGAAACAAUCUCUCACCCAUGCUCCUCCUGCUCCUGUGGGUAGCCCUUCACCCCUAACAACCCUAACAAAGCUCACUGGGUCACCAAAAAGGGGGAGAAGGGUGGAGGUUAGGGGGUAUGCUUGUUAUUUUUGUCAACCUGACACAAACCUAGACAUACCUGGGAAACUUCGACUGAGGCGUUGCCUGUCUCAGAUUGGCCUGUGGGCAUUGUGUUAAUGGCUGUGAGAGGGCCCAGCCACUGUGGGCGGGGCCAUCCCUGCGCAGGUGGGUUUGUGUGGUGGAAGGAAGGUACUGAGCAAGCGUGCUCCUCCUUGGUUUCUGCUUCAGUUCCUGUCUCCAGGUCCCUGCACUGAGCUUCUGUCCUAGUUUAGAACGCACUCUAACCUGUCAGCCCAAUAACCUUUUCCCCGCCCAGGCACGUUUGCUAACGGUGUUAUCACAGCGACAGAAAGCAAAUUAACAACUAAGACAGGAGAAAGAGAGGGUGAUGGGAGUAAAUAUGAUCAGAGCACAUCAUACACACGUGUGACUAUGUCAUAGUGACUCAAUGGGAAAAUACUUUGGAAAAUAGCUUUUGUUUUUAACAUGUAGAAGCUGACUCCCUUUAAUUACCUCCUAAGCAAUAGAAUAAAGUAGACCAAGUAGACACCACUCACUUUGUAUUAUGAUUGUAAGGGAUCUAGAGCAUUUAGGAGGGUGUGUAUAAGUUAUAUACAAAAACUAUACCACUUAAUAUAAAACAAUUGGGCAUCUGAGAGUUUUGGUAUCUUUUGGGGUCCUGGAAUCAAUUCUCUUUGUACCAAGAAGCAAUAGUACAUAUUUCGGAUGUUUUACUAACUCGAACUUUCCUUUUCCCUCAAAAGUGUCUAACCUGUCAAGUAGCAGGCUGCUGGUCUAGCCUGCUGCUUUCCACAAGCCAUCCAAAUGGGACCCCAGCUUACCUUUCCUAUGACAUCUGUCAACAGCUUCAGAGACCGAGGAUCGUGAACCAGGGAGUCUGUGUAGAAGGAGCCAAGAAUGGAGUCCCAUGGAUAACUGGAAAAACCCAAGAGUUGAAGCUGUGCUCCUGACCCCAGUCCAGCACAAACCUACGAGCCAAGGCAGCCAGUAUUUGGCCAUUCGACCAUCCAUCUGCAUAUCCCAGGGAUGCACGAACAGAGAACAGUUCAGCCUCUCAGCUGCCUUAAAUAGAGCAAUGAGAAAGAGGUUAUUGGGGGCCACCACUUUUUUAUAUCUCAUUCCACGUUGAUCUGAGCAAAUAAGCUCAAAUACUUUGAAAUUCCUUCUUGAUCAGUAUAGAAGAUUCCUUGACCAAUUAUUACUGCUUGAACAAAUAAAAAGAACUCUCAGAAUUAA
Peromyscus californicus insignis is the source of this 14052-nucleotide long non-coding RNA. RefSeq lists it as uncharacterized. Lineage: Eukaryota; Metazoa; Chordata; Mammalia; Rodentia; Cricetidae. The record is from RefSeq and is a predicted model, not a curated record. The transcript has 4 exons.